CUUAUGGCGGCGCUGGAGAGGG
Molecule: unclassified non-coding RNA, 22 nt
Filed under: Mus musculus (house mouse)
Lineage: Eukaryota; Metazoa; Chordata; Mammalia; Rodentia; Muridae
Description: oocyte_clustered_small_RNA11067
Source: RNAcentral